Molecule: long non-coding RNA, 178 nt
Organism: Oxyura jamaicensis (ruddy duck)
Lineage: Eukaryota; Metazoa; Chordata; Aves; Anseriformes; Anatidae
Exons: 3
Source: RefSeq, a predicted model, not a curated record
CUAAAAGAGGGUAGACUUAUAUUACAUAUAAGGAAGAAAUUCUGUACUAUAAGGGUGGUGAGGCCCUGGCCCAGGCUGCCCUGAGGAGCUGAGGCUGCCCCAACCCUGGCGGUGCACAAGACCAGGCUGGAUGGGGUUUGGGCAGCCUGGGCUGGGGGAGGUAAUUUGCAGAUUCCUG